AAUAGAUACCCUGGUAGUCCACGCCGUAAACGAUGGAUACUAGCUGUUGGAGGUAUCGACCCCUUCAGUAGCGAAGCUAACGCGUUAAGUAUCCCGCCUGUGGAGUACGGUCGCAAGACUAAAACAUAAAGGAAUUGACGGGGACCCGCACAAGCGGUGGAGCGUGUUCUUUAAUUCGAUGAUAAACGAAGAACCUACCAGGACUUGACAUCCCGAGAAUUUUGCCGAAAGGCGAGAGUGCUUUAUUGAACUCGGUGACAGGUGCUGCAUGGCCGUCGUCAGCUCGUGUCGUGAGAUGUUUGGUUAAGUCCAUUAACGAGCGCAACCCUUAUGAAUAGUUGUUAUUUUUUCUAUUCAGACUGCCCCGGUAAACGGGGGAGGAAGGGAGGGGGAUGAUGUCAGGUCAGUAUUGCCCUUACGUCCUGGGCUAGAAACGCGCUACAAUGGCCGGUACAAUGCGCAGCCAACCCGCAAGGGGGAGCAAAUCGCAUCAAAGCCGGUCCCAGUUCGGAUAAGGGGCUGAAACUCGCCUCUUUGAAGUCGGAAUCGCUAGUAAUCG
Molecule: ribosomal RNA, 559 nt
Filed under: uncultured bacterium
Lineage: Bacteria
Description: bacterial SSU rRNA
Rfam family: Bacterial small subunit ribosomal RNA
Source: RNAcentral